Molecule: ribosomal RNA, 564 nt
Filed under: Staphylococcus sp. Bacteria_60
Lineage: Bacteria; Bacillati; Bacillota; Bacilli; Caryophanales; Staphylococcaceae
Description: bacterial SSU rRNA
Rfam family: Bacterial small subunit ribosomal RNA
Source: RNAcentral
CUAAUACAUGCAAGUCGAGCGAACUGACGAGGAGCUUGCUCCUUUGACGUUAGCGGCGGACGGGUGAGUAACACGUGGGUAACCUACCUAUAAGACUGGAAUAACUCCGGGAAACCGGGGCUAAUGCCGGAUAACAUAUCGAACCGCAUGGUUCGAUAGUGAAAGACGGUCUUGCUGUCACUUAUAGAUGGACCCGCGCCGUAUUAGCUAGUUGGUGAGGUAACGGCUCACCAAGGCAACGAUACGUAGCCGACCUGAGAGGGUGAUCGGCCACACUGGAACUGAGACACGGUCCAGACUCCUACGGGAGGCAGCAGUAGGGAAUCUUCCGCAAUGGGCGAAAGCCUGACGGAGCAACGCCGCGUGAGUGAUGAAGGUCUUCGGAUCGUAAAGCUCUGUUGUUAGGGAAGAACAAAUGUGUAAGUAACUAUGCACAUCUUGACGGUACCUAACCAGAAAGCCACGGCUAACUACGUGCCAGCAGCCGCGGUAAUACGUAGGUGGCAAGCGUUAUCCGGAAUUAUUGGGCGUAAAGCGCGCGUAGGCGGUUUUUUAAGUCUGAUG